AAAAUUCUUUCUCAAACUUGCAAACCAUUUCAACGUCAUUCGAUAGCUUGUUAAACCUUCCAUCAAUCGUCAAAAAGAAAAGGACAAUAUGCCACCCUUCCCGAGUGGUGGCGCCGCCAGUUCUCAGUCGAAACUCCGGCGCAGAAGCCGAAGGUCUAAGGAGUCCCUCAUCUCCCGCCGGAAUCUCUCCGAUCUUCUUCUCUCUUUCACCAUCGUUCUGAACCCUUGUAAGGUCGGGUUCUGAAGCUUGCUUAUUUUCUUCCCUGCGGCGGGAACUCCUCCGAGAUUCUUUUUCCUUGGCAUCACUUUUCCCAAGAACACAGCCCAUUGCAAAAAAAUCAAAUAUUUCAAUAAACUAAACUCAAAUUUCAGCCGCCAUCAUCUUAUUUCAACAAAUUUAUCAGUUUCAAGAAAUCAAAUUUGAGACUUUUCUAUAAAAAAAACAAAAAUAAGCCCAAUCGGAAAAGCAGUUAGAUAUGCAAAACCGCUUUGCAUUUAUUCCUCCUUCCCCUUUGUGUAUGUUUUGAUUCAAUUGAAGACUAACAAUUCAACAGAAGAAAUCAUUUGAAUCAGAUACCCAGUGAAGCGAAAAAUUUACUAAUAACCACACAAAAGAACGCUGCUAUCAUAAUAGUCCGUGACAGACUGCAUCUGCAUUUAUUGCACUGUGUCUGUUUUGUAUAUUUUGAAUUCAAGAAAAUGAGGUCCCGAAGACAAUCAUAUUUGUGCUUCUGCAAAUAAACAAAACACAGAGAGAAGAAAAGUUGUGUCCUUUUCUUUUCGUAUUUGCGUCAGCAUUCGAUUGAUUAAUUAACAGUUUUUCAGGUUUAUUACUGGCAUCAAACUCAAAGUUUUUCAGAUAAAUAUUAAUGUUUCAACGAUUAAUUU
RNAcentral lists this long non-coding RNA (888 nucleotides) under Olea europaea (common olive). Its description in RNAcentral is "long non-coding RNA (OEUR_LNC015120)". Lineage: Eukaryota; Viridiplantae; Streptophyta; Magnoliopsida; Lamiales; Oleaceae. The record is from RNAcentral.